Molecule: long non-coding RNA, 279 nt
Filed under: Gallus gallus (chicken)
Lineage: Eukaryota; Metazoa; Chordata; Aves; Galliformes; Phasianidae
Source: RNAcentral
GCAUUAAUAGGAACCCCACACUCAUCCCGAGGAAUUAUCUUUCCAUGGAAAGGGCACUUAAUCCGAUCUUGUCUUUCACACAGACUUCCAUCAGGCAUUGGCGCUCGACAUUUAUGCUUCACUGGUUCAAACUUGCCAGCAAAUGUUAUAUAUCUGGUUUUUAACAUUUCGGUUAUUUCUUUAUUUUCUACCUCUUCCUCUACUUCACUGGGUGCCCAGAAUCGAUGCUCGGAAGUAAAUUUGAGAAUCUUCCCAGCACUUGGCUGAUCCUGUCCCCAG